UACGUAGGGGGCAAGCGUUGUCCGGAUUUAUUGGGCGUAAAGAGCGUGUAGGCGGUUCGGUAAGUCUGCUGUGAAAGUCGGGGGCUCAACCCUCGAAUGCCGGUGGAUACUGUCGGACUAGAGUGCGGAAGAGGCGAGUGGAAUUCCUGGUGUAGCGGUGAAAUGCGCAGAUAUCAGGAGGAACACCAAUUGCGAAGGCAGCUCGCUGGGACGUUACUGACGCUGAGACGCGAAAGCGUGGGGAGCAAACAGG
This 253-nucleotide ribosomal RNA is filed under the name uncultured bacterium. RNAcentral's name for it is "partial 16S ribosomal RNA". It matches the Rfam family "Bacterial small subunit ribosomal RNA", at positions 524 to 776 of the family's 1533-position model. The record is from RNAcentral.